This 5346-nucleotide small RNA is filed under the name Rattus norvegicus (Norway rat). RNAcentral describes it as "uncharacterized LOC103691652". Lineage: Eukaryota; Metazoa; Chordata; Mammalia; Rodentia; Muridae. The record is from RNAcentral.
GGCUCCGCCUCCGCCUCUAACCCCUCCCCGCCGGGCCCGGACCACGCUAGCCGCUGCCUAGCCCGGGCUCCCGGCAGGAGGGCGCCCGGGCCCAGUACCCGAGUGCCCCGGUCUCUAGAGGGCUACGGAGCGCGUCUGCCUCCAGGACCGGGUAUUUGACUGAGCAGCCUGCGAAGUAGAGCGCGGAAGGUCCGCAGUGGGUGCGGCGCGGCGCAGUCGGGGCUAGCCCACUUGCUCAGCGUAGCUUUUCUAGAGCGUCGGGGGUCUCGAGGGGCCGGGGUUGGACAGCAGCUGCGCGACUCCGAGGGACUCUUCUCUGCAGAUCCAGGCCCGCACCUAUCUGCAGAUGUUCUUCCAUAGAGCAAUUCUCUGCACUUCUUAGAAACAACUGUUGCUUAUACAACUGUUGCUUAUAGCAGAAGACAGCCUUUAUCUCUUCCAGUGAUCCACAGACUUGAUGAAAUCAGUUCGGGCCUCAGAGAGAAGAUGAAUUGUAAGCAAAAUUCAAAAAUCACGAUUCUGGGGAAAAAGACCCCCAAAUCCAGAGCCCUGUAGUACCAGCCCUGCUAGUUCAACUGAAGGCUGCAGCAUGCCCUGAUCUAAACGGGAAAACACAACAAGGAAAAUAUCAGAAGCACAAGCCAGAGCUGUUGUCCUCCUUACUCAUCCACUCAUCCAUCAAGAUAAGUCAGAGAUCAAAAGGAAUUCCCUCUCCAUCCUCCAAGAAAGACACUUGAGGAGACAAUUAGUAACAUGGUGAGAGGAGCUGGAUCUCAAGUCCCCAAAGCACAAAGUAAGAAGCAGCCAGCUCUGCCAAGAGACAGGAAAAAACCCUGACUGGACCUUCAGAGACAGAUCAGGAGGAUCAAGGAAACUCCAAUCGAGCACAUCACAUGGGUAAAGUCUUCAGACUCUAUGCCUGGUCUGCAGGACAGUGGGCUAGCAAUUCAUAACGGUUGGAGCCUGGGUCAGGAGGGAGAGGAGCCCGUGUGGCUUGGGGAGGUGGCUGUCAAACAACCUGCUGAGGGACUUGAGCUUCAUUCUGGAAGACACAGGAAGAUGUGGCAGGGUUUUGAGAAGGGGUGUGGCUUUGCAAAGACUUCUUUGGCAGGAAGGAAAGUGUGCUAGGUUUCCACAGCAGCCAGCUUAUCAACGUUCCUCCAGCCCUGCUGAAUUCAGAAUCUCAGGACAUCUGUUCCUCCCGCCACCUUCCUGAUGGCCUACUCGUUUUAUUUUGAAGCACAUACAGUAUCUCUUCGUUUCCAGCAUCGUCCCCAUUAUCCACUACUUCCUCCCAACCGCGCUUUCUAAACUGCUGAGGAUGGAAGAGAAAGCAGACUGGACUUGCAGUAUACAUUUCACACUCUCAUCCAACAAGCAACUUAGCCGCUGACACACUGCCAGCUGGUCCCAUCAAGUCAGGUGGCAUGGGUCACCCAACAAGCUGCCUGUUGGAAUAGCUGGCUGUUACAUAGCCUGUUAAGAACCAGGCGAACAAGACCACCAAAAUGUGGCAGCUGCUGUCCAGACAAGACACCUUCAGGCAGAGCUGGGUGCAGCCCGGUGACUCGUGCAGACAACAUCUGGGUUUUAGUUGGAAGACGGCCUCUGCAUUGGAUGAAGCUCUUCCCACAGAAUGGCCUCUUCUCUGGUCUGGAAUCUGCUAGGACUCCAUCUUCCCACACUGGGUCCAUGCAUGGUGUCCAGAAGAUCAAAUCCUAUAUGUUGGAGUGUAUGCGUUCUGGAUAAGUUACGGAAAAGGCACAAGGAGGCAGAGGGACCCGAGGUCCCAGGACCUCAGACACAAGAACUGAUUUCUUAGCAGUGUAGCUGGUCUGUUUCAACAUAGGUAUCAGUUUUGGUGUUCUGUUUUCUCACAGCACCCCCACCAGUAAUGAAAGACUGGGCUAUUGUAGGGAACUCACACUGUGAUUGUGGAAGAGGGCUAUCCCACAGCCUCUGUGAACAUCAAGAAGACAAGGUUCUCUCAGGAACUUCUUUUGAGGGUCAGUGAGACAUUGGGGAAAUAUAAAAUACCGGACAAUGCUUCCUUCUCACCACAAUACAUUUCUGGAAGCCACAUGGAAAAUCCUAAAAUUGAUCUUCCCCGUGGGAUCUGUGUUAUAAUUGGACACUGCAUUCUUGACCAGAGACUUGGCAUCAGAUAAAUCACAGAUACUAAAUAUGUCACAGAGACAAGGACUCACAGUUUAAGGCAGUUGAGUUCUUAAACUCAGCUGAGCAUCAGAAUUGUCAAAGGAGAUUGAAUAAGAAAUACUGAUGCCUAGGUCCCAUCUGGAACCAGAUGAAGCCAGAUUUCCAUGGGUGGGUCCAGGUAACCAUUUAAAAAAAUAAUUUAGAGCUUUGUAUUUUGACUUAUCAAGAACCAAGAACAAAUAUAGGGAAAAAGUGUCAUCGGCACUUAAAAUAUUAGAAGGAGCCACACGGGAAAACAUGACAAGGGAGGAGGAAACUGCUGUCGUCACAUUUACUGUUAAAAACUGCAGCAAAUAAGAACAGUUUGGAUGAGAGAAGAAAAGGACAAGUCAAUUUUGAUUCUCUAAGGAGAAAGUCAGACCACCCCACCCCAUUUGAACAGUGAACCAUUGCUUUCUGUAUCCACGGUCCAAGGCUGACCUUGUCAGGGUACCAAUUCCUAAAGCUGACUGCAGAUGCCCUGUGGAUGGCUACCUUCCUCUCUGUGAUGGACUGCACCCUUGAGCCAGCCCAAAGAAACACUUCUUUCCCUGAGUCACAUUCACCGGGCAUUUUUUCACAGCAAAGAGGAAAGUGACUAACACAAGUUGUUACCCCAUUUCUGCUAGAUCUGGGCUCCUUUCAUUAGUCAACAUGACAUGGAUUGAACACCCACUCUGCCCUACUACUGAUCUACAAUGAAGGUGCCGGAACAAGGAAGUUAUGGGAACAAGACAGAGUUGGUUCAAAGAGAUGAUCGACAACAGCGCAGACAUGAAUGAGCAGGAUAAUGCAUGAUGACAGCCCAGUGAAGACCAUAAAGCAGAGGAUCCGGGGGCCAAGGAGAAUAUGUCUGCCCUGUGGUCAGGGAGGUCAACUUUUGGGGAAGUAUUUAACAUUGUCCCUGAGGCCUGUGCUUUGAAUCUUCUUGGCCCAUUUCUUAAUAUCAUGGCUCUCAUGACUUGAUCUUAGUGCCUUUCCUCCGCCAUUUCAGCUGUAGGACCCCAGGAAGGCUUCUCAGAGCCUCCCACAGCAAGCCAUAUGCUAUCCUACUACUUAUAAACCCACACUCUAUAAUGGUCCUUCACUCUGGCACCUCAUUAUAGAAAGUAGGAUGAAGUUGGCACCGAGAAUGAUUCCUAUUUGCUUCAGCCACAGUAAUCUCUUCAUUUUCUAAGACUUCAGUUAUGUGUGUUCAAUCAUCAUGGGAAAAUAUUGAAAAGAAAAUUAUUAGAAAUAAGCAGUUUAUUAAUUUAAGUGACUUUUAUUAUAGCAUUUUGUUAUAUGGCUCUACUUUGUUAUUAGUUGUUGGUAAUCAUUUACUAUGCUUUAUAAAUUAUUUGUCAAUAUUAAUAUUUGUUUAUAGGAGAAAAGAGUGCAUAUAGGAUUUGAUGCUAUCUGGGUUUCAAGCAUUCACUGGGGGUCUGGGAAUGGAUCCUCUGAGAUAAAAGGGGCAUGUCUCUUUUAAUACGCAUAAGGUUUACACUGCAGUACUGCUAAGUUCACUUUACUAUUUGGGACUCUGCUGAAAUUAUCUCUUUGCAGAGGAAGAGUAUCUCACCACCCACAUCAGCUUCCUCCUUCACCCAGAACAGAUUCCCAGAAAAUAAAAGUUCCUAAGACUGUUCUAGAAAGUUCAGAGACACAGAUGAGAACUUUGCUCUUUAAUCAUGCUUCAGGAAUGCAGGUGUUAUCUGUACACACUAUUAUCAAUUGUCUUUGAGAUCGCUGGCUAGAGUAAGCUUGGUCAUGAUUUCUAAUCAUUAGAGAUAGGUUGGGAGUUUUCAAUUCAUUUAUUCUCUUUAUUGUAGCUAAUUGAAGAAUACGUUGCCUUUGGAUUCAAAUAGCCAUUACUGGUUCUCUUUGCCAAGCCCUAUGCAAGACAUAUCUCCUUGGGAUUUUGUGAUGGCUUAGUGCUCUGUGUCAGGGAUAGAGAGGUGAGGCUCAGGUGAAUUAAGGGCUAGCUCAAAGUCAAAUGUAGGGGUAGAAACACGUGCAAGUCUUCUGACCCCAGUACAUGGACUUGCAGGCUGGAGCUCUCCUACCUUUCUUUUUACACACAGUAUUGACUCACAUCUUGAGGAAACUGAGGUUAAAUGUAAUGCGCAAGCAUUCAUCUUUGUAAAGAUUUGUUUCAUUGGGACCACUGGUUACAAGUGAAAGCUACAGUGGAUGUGUCCAUGACAUAGAUUAAACACGAUUACAGAGGAGGUGGUGUAUCCCUCACAUCUUGACUUCUCUUACGUUUAAUAUAACCCUGAAGAGGACACAGAAGUUCAAAUAGAGCAUAUGGCAUUCAUAAGGUUACAUACAUGUAAUCAUACAUGAUACUUUUAUUGUAAAUAAAAAACACUAUUUAUAAUGGCAACAAGUGCAUUAUACAGAUAAAACAUAGGACUGCAGCUUCAUUAUUUAUUAAAGGAAAGAAAAAAAAUCUACACAAGUGAUCGGGGAAACAUAGUCUUACUCUGGUGGCAUUUGUCCCUAGAUUGUCCCUAGAUUGCUUUACAGAUUUCAUCACAAUUCAAAUCAAAAUCAUAGCAGGAAUUUGUGGGAUUGUGAUAAACUCAUUUUGAGUUUUCUAUGAAAGUAAUAAAGGCUUUUGAGUAAUCAACACUGAAAAAGAAAACACAGGAAUGGGAGCACUCGACUAGUAAAUGAGACAUUGUUGAGAAGGUGCAGAACAAACAAAUAAACCGAUGGAGAAUCCCUAAAGCAAGGUCACUUGUGCUGCAGUGCACUGACAGAACUCAACACAGCAGCUGUUCUUCAUCGGAGAGGCUGCGACCAUGUAAAAUCAGGAAAUCUUCAAGAUCAGGCCUGUUGACCACUGAUGCUCCCUUACAGGGGAAAAGGUGGAGAGAACAUGGGGAAGCUUAUUACACCUUCUCUUGAGACUCCAGCUUUUUCUUCCUGAACCUCCCAGCCAGUUGUAUAUAAUUCUGUUCCACCUGCACAUGGUCUCAUAGUCUUGGGAGUAUACAGUCUGUGGCAGGCUAGUGGAAGGGAGUGACUCCAUAUUUGCAGUGGUGGGGAAGUCACCCAUCAUUGACAUUGGGAGUGGUUGUGUGGCUACUUUGGGGUCAUUAAUAUACCUAUAAAUAAUUCUUCACCCAUGCUCUGUAAGUAAAAAUAAAGUUAUUAACUCAC